UGGCUACAUUGAUCUCGAGCUACCGUGC
This 28-nucleotide non-coding RNA is filed under the name Mus musculus (house mouse). The record is from RNAcentral. Lineage: Eukaryota; Metazoa; Chordata; Mammalia; Rodentia; Muridae.